RNAcentral lists this ribosomal RNA (527 nucleotides) under uncultured bacterium. Its description in RNAcentral is "bacterial SSU rRNA". It matches the Rfam family "Bacterial small subunit ribosomal RNA", at positions 524 to 1050 of the family's 1533-position model. The record is from RNAcentral.
UACGUAGGUGGCAAGCGUUGUCCGGAAUUACUGGGCGUAAAGGGUGCGCAGGCGGACAUUUAAGUGAGAUGUGAAAGACCCGGGCUUAACUUGGGCAGUGCAUUUCAAACUGGAUGUCUGGAGUGCAGGAGAGGAGAACGGAAUUCCUAGUGUAGCGGUGAAAUGCGUAGAGAUUAGGAAGAACACCAGUGGCGAAGGCGGUUCUCUGGACUGUAACUGACGCUGAGGCACGAAAGCGUGGGUAGCAAACAGGAUUAGAUACCCUGGUAGUCCACGCCGUAAACGAUGAGUACUAGGUGUAGGAGGUAUCGACCCCUUCUGUGCCGCAGUAAACACAAUAAGUACUCCGCCUGGGAAGUACGAUCGCAAGAUUAAAACUCAAAGGAAUUGACGGGGGCCCGCACAAGCAGCGGAGCAUGUGGUUUAAUUCGAAGCAACGCGAAGAACCUUACCUGGACUUGACAUCCCCUGCAUAUCUUAGAGAUAAGAGAAGCCCUUCGGGGCAGGGAGACAGGUGGUGCAUGGUU